RNAcentral lists this transfer RNA (75 nucleotides) under Brevundimonas sp. RNAcentral's name for it is "tRNA-Val". It matches the Rfam family "tRNA". Rfam says of the family: Transfer RNA (tRNA) molecules are approximately 80 nucleotides in length. Lineage: Bacteria; Pseudomonadati; Pseudomonadota; Alphaproteobacteria; Caulobacterales; Caulobacteraceae. The record is from RNAcentral.
GGGCGGCUAGCUCAGCUGGUCAGAGCACCUCGUUUACACCGAGGGGUCGGGGUUCGAACCCCUCGCCGCCCACCA